AUAGUACUAUGAUCGUUUAAAUGCUUUAACUUAUUCUAUUCAAAAUUCAAACCCAUUGCCCAUGAUUCAAACUAACAAAAUACUGAGCGCGAAGUUGUGUUGAGAGUUGAGAACUAUGGUUAAGAAAAAAGAACAUCAAGAGUGAACUUUACAUGUGUAAACCAGAUGUCUAACAAUUUCCAUUUAGGAUGGAAAAAUGAAAAGUCUUGUCAGGGCAAAGCUAAAUCUUCUGAAGCUGAUAACAACACAAUUAUAAAAUUGUGGGAUAAGCUACCAAUUGGGCUAAGUUAAAUUGGUUCGCAGUCGAAAAAGGUUUUUAUAGACUGAAAGUGUCAUA
Molecule: long non-coding RNA, 337 nt
Organism: Agrilus planipennis (emerald ash borer)
Lineage: Eukaryota; Metazoa; Arthropoda; Insecta; Coleoptera; Buprestidae
Exons: 3
Source: RefSeq, a predicted model, not a curated record